Neopelma chrysocephalum (saffron-crested tyrant-manakin) is the source of this 1353-nucleotide long non-coding RNA. RefSeq lists it as uncharacterized. The transcript is spliced from 5 exons. Lineage: Eukaryota; Metazoa; Chordata; Aves; Passeriformes; Pipridae. The record is from RefSeq and is a predicted model, not a curated record.
UCUGGCUGACUUCUUAUCAAACUAUUGAGAGGCCAAAGGCAACACUGGUGUUUAAUUACAAGCAACAUGGAUUGUGGACUUAAGAAAGCAGCAGUAGCAGGAAGCCUGUAAGCUGUCAACCUCAGAAACAGGAAAGAAUCUUCUACCUAGAAACAGAACCGAUGAUUGAUAUGAAUGUAGGAAACUAAGGUGCUCCUUAAAUUGAUUAGUUGGAAAACCUGGAAGAGGGGAAAAAAGAAAAAGAACCAGAAAUGGGGUCAAAGCAAGAUCAUUACACCUCACAAGUGCUGAGCUUUUUAGUUUGUUUCAGGGCAAAGGACUUGGGGGAAAAAAAGAGAAGAUUAUCAGAUGGCAACUAUGUCUAUAAGCCUGAAGAUCAUUUGAUUGUGCACAUAGGGGAGACAGUUCACAAAGAUUUUUGGUCCGGAGAAGUAACUGCAGUCCUAAACCACAUGAAAGAAAAGGAUCUUCUGGCAUUAUAUCUAGAAAAAGUCAGAAGUGCCUGAAUUUAACCUAAUGUUCCUUGUCAGGAAGCCAGAAUUUACACAUUCCAGAACACUUCUUGCAGUAUGUAUUUUACCCUGAAUGUUUAUGGGCCAGUGAAAUUCUGCACCUGCACAUCUGAGAGGCCUUGAGCCACUCUCAGGUAACAGUAGAUAGGGGUAGAAGUGCUGUGCCAAAAAGACAUGAUGGUAGAGCACUAUCUUACCUUUUUACAAAUAUUUAAAACGUCACAUUGUCUGGGAAGAGAAGCCAAAUUAAACAUUACCUAACCCUACAGUGCUUUAGCAUUGGUCACAGAUGUCCUAGAAGAGAACACGCUGAGGUGCUUCAUGGCCAUAAAGCAAAUGUGUUACUCUUGAUAGUAAAACCACAGCCAGAAGGAGUUCAAACUGGAGUUUUACGUUAAUACACAAGUUAAUGUGAAAUGCAGCUGUGCAACAUUUCUAGAAUACUAGUACCAGAGAGGAUGUUUCAAUGAAGGGGUGACCUCCAAAGGUUUCAAGGGCCAAUGCAUUUAACUAGACGAAAGUGAGUCCAGAAAGAGGAACUGUAAGAGCAAAAUAAACAGUGGUUCUGCAAAUUCAUUCCUUGUAUAUGUCAAAUUACUUGUGCUCUUCAGCAUUUUAGGAGCUUGUGGGGUUUUUUAUUUUUAUAUGUGAUAAGAGAGGCUUGCUUCUGCAUUCUGCUUGAGUGUUACCUUCAAAACAUGAAUGCUGAUUCCCAAACUGCAGUUUCUUUCCUUAAGUGGCAUUGAAAACCAAGAAAGAGCAAAACCAGAAGCAAGAGAGAGUGGAACUCACAUACUGACAAUAUUUGAUCUUGUCUGCCUUUACUGGAUGAUUGUUUGUA